This 1090-nucleotide long non-coding RNA is filed under the name Callithrix jacchus (white-tufted-ear marmoset). RNAcentral's name for it is "lncRNA (ENSCJAG00000080870.1)". The record is from RNAcentral. Lineage: Eukaryota; Metazoa; Chordata; Mammalia; Primates; Cebidae.
UAUGACUCUGCUUUUUAUGCUCAUCAGCUUAGGCUAAGGGGCACUUUUUAGCUGCCAAGGAACAAAGUUUCCAGUUAUUUAAUGUUUUGCGUAUUUUUUUCUUUUCUAGAUGCUUCCCCUGAGGCAGCCCACUGUUGUGCUUGUCAUAUCACUUGGGUGCCUGUAGACAUCUGUAUGCUUCUCCAGCUGCGUGGGAGACACACUUCACCUUGUGGCUCCUCCUUUCAAAGGUUGCAUGUGCUGUAUGGAGGAACAGUUGACUUUGCUGAUAGAGAACGUCUCAUUGCACCCCCUUUCCACACCAUCUGUCUGACCUGGACCCAUUCCAAACACUACGGCUUUGCUGGCAGAAUGGUCUUCCUGCUACAGAAGUUUUGUAAUCUGCUAAUUGACAGGAAUAUAAGCUUCUUGGAGGCAGGGAUUUUUGCCUGACUGUUUGGGGCAGUAUCCCCAGCAGCUAGGAGAGCACCUGAUGCACAGUGGAUGCUCAGUGAUGAUCCAGCGUUGGUGAGAACACUACCCCGGGCCUGCAGAAUAUGCCACAGGAACAUCUCCUGCAAAAGCUACACCCUCAGGUCAGCGUCCCAUCUCUUUCAGAGAAUGGUAAGGAAUUGUCCCAUGCCGUCUCCCAUCUGGAAUUUGAUAUAUAGACUAUGGCUGGAUUUUGAGCCAGGCUUGGACAUUCUCUUUCUCCAGGAAUUCACAUCUUGAUGAGAAUCCUGGCAUUGAGACUGUGGAGCUCCAGUGACUUUGAGGGCUGGGCAGCAGCUUUGGGGGUGAGUAGCUUGCCUUCUAGUGCAUGCUUCUGCCCGUCUGAUGCACACACAGAUCACCUGGGGGGCUUGCUAACAUGCGGGUUCUGAUUCAGAAGAUGGGGUCGGCGGGGGCCGAGGUUCUGCAUUGCCAGUGAGCUCCCAGGUGGUGCUGAUGCUGAAUUAGGGUCACAUUAUAAAUAGCAAGCUUCCGGCACACACCUUCUCUACAGGCAGACAUCAGAAUGGAGCCCCCAAAUACUGUAUCAGACCCCCAAAGUGAGCAAUUAAAAAGGCCAGAGCAUGGACAGACAAAUACCACAUGAUCUCACUCACGU